GGUUAAGUUAGAAAGGGCGCACGGUGGAUGCCUUGACACUAGGAGUCGAUGAAGGACGGGACUAACGCCGAUAUGCUUCGGGGAGCUGUAAGUAAGCUUUGAUCCGAAGAUUUCCGAA
This 118-nucleotide ribosomal RNA is filed under the name Bacillus anthracis (anthrax bacterium). Its description in RNAcentral is "partial 23S ribosomal RNA". It matches the Rfam family "Bacterial large subunit ribosomal RNA", at positions 1 to 118 of the family's 2925-position model. The record is from RNAcentral. Lineage: Bacteria; Bacillati; Bacillota; Bacilli; Caryophanales; Bacillaceae. RNAcentral also lists the same sequence under 12 other names.